RNAcentral lists this long non-coding RNA (1211 nucleotides) under Sus scrofa (pig). RNAcentral's name for it is "lncRNA (ENSSSCG00060078721.1)". The record is from RNAcentral. Lineage: Eukaryota; Metazoa; Chordata; Mammalia; Artiodactyla; Suidae.
CCCUCAGACUUCUCUUUUCCCAGGUGGGCCAGUUCUUGGCCUCGCGGGCUUACGUCAUGGGAGGAAUGCGGUGACGCGACGCUGCUCUUGUGACGUCGACGACGAAGGCCGGGCUCCCGGUUCGAUGAUGUCAUCGGGUCCUUUUUCCUCCCCCUGCUGCCCUGCGAUGAAGUUCUCAAGCCACAGCAGGGACAAUGCCAAAUCCUUGACCUUCUGAGCCAUGAGGGAACUUCCACAAGAGCUUUGAAAAGGUGAGAUCUCCAGCAUUUGUUGUUAUGUGGAGUGGGGGGGUGGGUGGAGGGAGGAAGGUGUAGAAGAACAUAUGAAACAUGCUACCUUGAACUGAAAUUCUGACACAUGCUACCACAGGGAUGAACCUUGAAACAUUAUGCCAAAUGCAAGAAGCUGGACCUAAAAGGCACAUUCAUAGAGACAAAAAGUAGAAUGAUGGUUACCAGGAACUGGAGGGUGGAGUGGAGGAAUGGAGAAUUAUUGUUUAAUUAGGUAGAGUUUCAGUUUGGAGAGAUGAAAAAUUUCUGGAGAUGGCUAGUGGUGAUGGUUGCAUGACAAUAUGGAUGUCUUAAUGCCACUGAACUGUGCACUUAAAAAUGGUUAGGAUGUGGAGUUCCUUGUUGCCACAGUAGGAUAAGGAUCCAGCAUUGGCACGGUUGUGGCUUGAGUUCAGUCUCUGACCCAGGAACUUCCACAUGCCAUGGGCUUGCCCCCUCCCCUCAAAAAAAGGCUAAAAUGUUAUAUUUUAUCACAAUUAAAAAACAGCUUUUUUUUUUUUUCCCCUGCACCCACAGUACAUGGAAGUUCCUGGGCCAGGGAAUGAACCCACACCUCAGCAAUGACGCAAGCUGCUGGAGAGACAAUGGCAGAUCCUUAACCAUAAUGGCCACACAGCAGGAACUCUAAAAAACAACUUUUUAUUGCUACCUUUAAUGUAAAAGCAGAUGAGGGGGGAGGGAUAAGGACUUGUAUUCUUAUUUGUUUGUGUAUGGGCACAGAAAUUCUGGAAAGAUACUCAGGAAAUCAGGAGCAGUGGGUUUCCUGUGGGGAAAAGGAGGGGAACUAAGACUUGGGAAAUACUGCAGUGUAAACUUUAUGCUUUUUGUUUGUGCAGCACAUGAAUGCAUCCACUAUUCAAAAAUAAAAUUAGUUAAGAAAUAUGGAGAAUGGCUUUAUUUAGGAUUAGUAAGAUUUGAGUU